RNAcentral lists this long non-coding RNA (253 nucleotides) under Elaeis guineensis (African oil palm). RNAcentral describes it as "long non-coding RNA (EGUI_LNC037101)". Lineage: Eukaryota; Viridiplantae; Streptophyta; Magnoliopsida; Arecales; Arecaceae. The record is from RNAcentral.
CUCCUCCUCAACUACAACUCCUCUGCCCUUGGUCCAAUGACCAUCCACUCUGAUAAAUCUCAUACAUCGAAGGGAGUGGUCAUUGUAGGUAUCAGUGUUUGAUAAUUUGCAAACAACCUCUCCCUCAAAGCUCACUCUAGACUCCCUAAAUAUCACAGUAAGAGCCAUACCAUAGGGCAAGGGAGCCUUGGAUCUGUUCACGGUCUCCCUUAUGGCAUCAAUCAUAAGAAAAGGUAGAUUUAGGAGAGACUCG